AAUAGAUGCUCCUUUUGCCUGGAAAUAUCAAAUUUAAAUGAAAACGUUAUUUUGCUUCAAAUGAAGAUAUAAACAUGCUCUAUCUUCCUUAGUGCUUCCAUUAAAAGGAGGGUGCACUCUUUCAAUUCUAGAAAAUUCUAAUUAGCAGCUCAGACCCAGAAAAUGAUAUGAUACAUCAUACUAAAAUUUAAAAAAAAAAAAUCCUCACUGUAAUGGAAGAAAUUUCAGCAUAAACAGUAGAACGAUAAAUGGGGAUAAUUUGAAGUUUAUUUAAGAUUUUGGAACUCUAAUCAGCUAUGAAAUAAUAAGAACAUA
RNAcentral lists this unclassified non-coding RNA (315 nucleotides) under Hevea brasiliensis (rubber tree). Lineage: Eukaryota; Viridiplantae; Streptophyta; Magnoliopsida; Malpighiales; Euphorbiaceae. The record is from RNAcentral.